RNAcentral lists this ribosomal RNA (253 nucleotides) under uncultured bacterium. RNAcentral's name for it is "partial 16S ribosomal RNA". It matches the Rfam family "Bacterial small subunit ribosomal RNA", at positions 524 to 776 of the family's 1533-position model. The record is from RNAcentral.
UACGUAGGGGGCAAGCGUUGUCCGGAUUUAUUGGGCGUAAAGAGCGUGUAGGCGGUUAUGCAGGUCCGCUGUGAAAGUCCAGGGCUCAACCCUGGGAUGCCGGUGGAUACUGUCGGGCUCGAGUCCGGAAGAGGCGAGUGGAAUUCCUGGUGUAGCGGUGAAAUGCGCAGAUAUCAGGAGGAACACCAAUGGCGAAGGCAGCUCGCUGGGACGUGACUGACGCUGAGACGCGAAAGCGUGGGGAGCAAACAGG